RNAcentral lists this ribosomal RNA (613 nucleotides) under Salmonella enterica subsp. enterica serovar Enteritidis. RNAcentral describes it as "partial 23S ribosomal RNA". It matches the Rfam family "Bacterial large subunit ribosomal RNA", at positions 1 to 589 of the family's 2925-position model. The record is from RNAcentral. Lineage: Bacteria; Pseudomonadati; Pseudomonadota; Gammaproteobacteria; Enterobacterales; Enterobacteriaceae.
GGGUUGUGAGGUUAAGCGACUAAGCGUACACGGUGGAUGCCCUGGCAGUCAGAGGCGAUGAAGGGCGUACUAAUCUGCGAUAAGCGCCGGUAAGGUGAUAUGAACCGUUAUAACCGGCGAUACCCGAAUGGGGAAACCCAGUGUGAUUCGUCACACUAUCAUUAACUGAAUCCAUAGGUUAAUGAGGCGAACCGGGGGAACUGAAACAUCUAAGUACCCCGAGGAAAAGAAAUCAACCGAGAUUCCCCCAGUAGCGGCGAGCGAACGGGGAGGAGCCCAGAGCCUGAAUCAGCAUGUGUGUUAGUGGAAGCGUCUGGAAAGGCGCGCGAUACAGGGUGACAGCCCCGUACACAAAAGCGCAUGUGCUGUGAGCUCGAUGAGUAGGGCGGGACACGUGGUAUCCUGUCUGAAUAUGGGGGGACCAUCCUCCAAGGCUAAAUACUCCUGACUGACCGAUAGUGAACCAGUACCGUGAGGGAAAGGCGAAAAGAACCCCGGCGAGGGGAGUGAAAAAGAACCUGAAACCGUGUACGUACAAGCAGUGGGAGCCCCACCACCAAAGCAUUUGCUGUACCGCGUUGACGGAGCGAAGCGACGUCAAACCGAUAAAACA